RNAcentral lists this long non-coding RNA (213 nucleotides) under Ananas comosus (pineapple). RNAcentral describes it as "long non-coding RNA (ACOM_LNC009729)". Lineage: Eukaryota; Viridiplantae; Streptophyta; Magnoliopsida; Poales; Bromeliaceae. The record is from RNAcentral.
UUUCUUAUAAAUCAAAUAAUGUCUCUCUUUAUCAUUGAUUCUUGGAACAGCUUGAUGCCUUGAUAAUAGAUUUUUCAAAUACAUAAUAUUUUAUAUAUAGGUUCUUUAGAUGUCGCAAAACAUAUAAUAUUGAACUAAAUUUUGACUUUGAGAUAUUAAUCAAUAAUUUAUUCUGUGCAGAACAUAAAGUAUAUGUAUGCACCAAGUGGGGUC